Long non-coding RNA from Sinocyclocheilus anshuiensis, 115 nucleotides. RefSeq lists it as uncharacterized. NCBI's taxonomy places the organism in Eukaryota, Metazoa, Chordata, Actinopteri, Cypriniformes, Cyprinidae. The record is from RefSeq and is a predicted model, not a curated record. The transcript has 3 exons.
CAAAGCUUGUUGGAUUAACUAAGUUUAAAGCAGCACUGUGUAACUUUAGGCGCUCUAGCGGUUAAUAAACAGAACUGCACACAUCCCGCGGAAGAACAUUCUAACCGGAGCUACU